UACGUAGGGUGCAGGCGUUAAUCGGAAUUACUGGGCGUAAAGCGUGCGCAGGCGGUCUCUUAAGUCAGGUGUGAAAUCCCCGGGCUUAACCUGGGAACUGCGCUUGUAACUGAGAGGCUAGAGUGUGGCAGAGGGGGGUGGAAUUCCACGUGUAGCAGUGAAAUGCGUAGAUAUGUGGAGGAACACCGAUGGCGAAGGCAGCCCCCUGGGCUAACACUGACGCUCAUGCACGAAAGCGUGGGGAGCAAACAGG
This 253-nucleotide ribosomal RNA is filed under the name uncultured bacterium. RNAcentral describes it as "partial 16S ribosomal RNA". It matches the Rfam family "Bacterial small subunit ribosomal RNA", at positions 524 to 776 of the family's 1533-position model. The record is from RNAcentral.